This 222-nucleotide long non-coding RNA is filed under the name Physcomitrium patens. RNAcentral describes it as "long non-coding RNA (PPAT_LNC003966)". Lineage: Eukaryota; Viridiplantae; Streptophyta; Bryopsida; Funariales; Funariaceae. The record is from RNAcentral.
GCAUACUUAUGCUUGCAUCUCUCAUACUUGUAGUAGUAAGACUUCUCAAAUUUAGUUGUGAACUUGAUCUACUUGUUUUUCUCAAUUGCACAACUUCUUAGUAUAAACUUUGAACUUCAUUAUUGAUUUCUUUUAUAGGUGUUGGAAUACUACUUCCAUAGUUGAUAUUAGAAAUACAUGAGAUUUCUUGUCACGGACACAGAAUACAGACUUGAUAUCUAC